GCAGAUUUGACGCCUGAGCCAGCCAUCCUAAACAACGGCUUGUGCUGGACCUGUCAUCUGCAACAACUAUCAUCAUUUGGAUAAACAGCAUCGGCAUCCCUUUUGAUUGGAGAAACAACCGAUGUCGUCCAAAUUACGGAUCUCUUCGUAUUCCCCUUUCUUUAAAUGUCCUCGUGUACAUACACCCAUGUGAGUGUGGGGGUAUUCACGAGGACGCCCUUUGUCCCUAUUCCGCCUGGUGGAUUCAAUUCUUCAGAGGACGGAGCAACUGUGGAUGCCUUGCCGUAUUUCCCAGGCUUCAAGGGCCGAGAUGUUGGUGUCGCUGAAGGGCAGAGCUCCGUAGACGAGAAAAUAGAGAGUGACCCCCAUGGCCCAAACAUCCGCUGCCUUGCCGUGAAAUCGACCCGAGCCCGCC
Daphnia pulicaria is the source of this 415-nucleotide long non-coding RNA. RefSeq lists it as uncharacterized. The record is from RefSeq and is a predicted model, not a curated record. Lineage: Eukaryota; Metazoa; Arthropoda; Branchiopoda; Diplostraca; Daphniidae. The transcript is spliced from 3 exons.